This 253-nucleotide ribosomal RNA is filed under the name uncultured bacterium. RNAcentral describes it as "partial 16S ribosomal RNA". It matches the Rfam family "Bacterial small subunit ribosomal RNA", at positions 524 to 776 of the family's 1533-position model. The record is from RNAcentral.
UACGUAGGGCGCAAGCGUUGUCCGGAAUUAUUGGGCGUAAAGAGCUCGUAGGCGGCCUGUUACGUCUGCUGUGAAAUCCCGGGGCUUAACCCCGGGCGUGCAGUGGAUACGGGCAGGCUGGAGGCAGGCAGGGGAGAACGGAAUUCCAGGUGUAGCGGUGAAAUGCGUAGAUAUCUGGAGGAACACCGGUGGCGAAGGCGGCAUCCUGGACCGGCACUGACGCUGAGGAGCGAAAGCCAGGGGAGCAAACGGG